CAGAGUUGCAAGACUCCCUAAACCAUUGUGAACCUACCUUCUACCGUUGCUUCGGCGGGCGGGCCCAGCGCCCCCCCGGCCCCCCGCGGGCGCCCGCCGGAGGAUACUCAAACUCUUGACAUUAGUGGCCUCUCUGAGUAUUCUUUACUGAAUAAGUCA
This 159-nucleotide unclassified non-coding RNA is filed under the name soil metagenome. RNAcentral describes it as "partial internal transcribed spacer 1". The record is from RNAcentral.